Molecule: ribosomal RNA, 468 nt
Filed under: uncultured bacterium
Lineage: Bacteria
Description: partial 16S ribosomal RNA
Rfam family: Bacterial small subunit ribosomal RNA
Source: RNAcentral
GACGAACGCUGGCGGCGUGCUUAACACAUGCAAGUCGAACGGAAAGGCCCUGCUUUUGUGGGGUGCUCGAGUGGCGAACGGGUGAGUAACACGUGAGUAACCUGCCCUUGACUUUGGGAUAACUUCAGGAAACUGGGGCUAAUACCGGAUAGGAGCUCCUGCUGCAUGGUGGGGGUUGGAAAGUUUCGGCGGUUGGGGAUGGACUCGCGGCUUAUCAGCUUGUUUGGGGGGUAGUGGCUUACCAAGGCUUUGACGGGUAGCCGGCCUGAGAGGGUGACCGGCCACAUUGGGACUGAGAUACGGACCAGACUCCUACGGGAGGCAGCAGUGGGGAAUAUUGCACAAUGGGCGGAAGCCUGAUGCAGCAACGCCGCGUGCGGGAUGACGGCCUUCGGGUUGUAAACCGCUUUCGCCUGUGACGAAGCGUGAGUGACGGUAAUGGGUAAAGAAGCACCGGCUAACUACGUG